RNAcentral lists this long non-coding RNA (8142 nucleotides) under Zea mays. Its description in RNAcentral is "long non-coding RNA (ZMAY_LNC004703)". Lineage: Eukaryota; Viridiplantae; Streptophyta; Magnoliopsida; Poales; Poaceae. The record is from RNAcentral.
UUACAAUUUGAAUGUAUAAAACAUUUAUAAGUUUUAAAAUACAUGCUAGCUUAAGUGACAAUCCUCAAUAAAGAAGCUAAAGAUGGGAUAUACUUAUAUAAGAAGGCCGAGCCCACCGGCACUUAGCAGCAUCCACAACAGAACAAAAUUAUAACCUGAAAAACAACAGGGAAUAAAAUCCUGAGUACACAAUUACUCAGCAAGACUUACCCGACUAAAGAAAAGACUCUCAAGGGUAUGCUGGUUUAUUGGGAAUCAAGGUAAGGCUCAUCAAAUUUCAAAGACUCGUUUUUGCAGAAAAGCAUACUAGUAGUGGAUCCUUAUGCCAAAAUUUUACUUCACAAGUUAAGUACUUUUCCUGAAUCUAGAUUUGCCUAAUCUAGAGCAUUCACUUGUCCUACACUAGCUUCCUUUUAUCAACUUUAGUUUCACUUGUUAUCUACGAUGCAGGGCAGUGAUCCAGUCUUCAUAUCCGAGAAGUAACGGCGAUCCGAAUCGAUUAAUACUCAGCUGAGGAUCUCCAACCACACGACAUAUGUAGCACUUAACCCUUGCAUAUGUCAACUCGCCACCGGGUUUCUCAAGACCAGAACGGGUUCACGCGACCCGAGAGUACAGCACUCCACCGUCCAGCCAUUGGCCUGGUUGGUACACGUUACUCUCGCCAUGGUGCCCGCCAUGUUUCCGAGAGUACAGCACCCCACCUUCCAGUCUCUUGCCACGGAGGGUACAAGCUACUCUCGCCAUCGCUCCACUUCCAGUGCGUGCGAGCUGUUCUGGUAUUGGUCCGACCGAGGCAAAGCUUACCCAUGAUGAGGCAUGUGGCCAGUUAAAGGGUCCUAGAUCAGCAGGCCAACAAUCGGAACGGUCCUUAAGCGACACAGACGAGCGACCUUUCCUGCUCAGUGUCUGGUCUAGAUUUAUUCCAACCAUUCUCCCAUUUUUGGUACCCGACAGGGGUACUUUUUCUGGAUGUUGAAUCCAUCAUGGCCAUAUGGAUUCACCAUCCCAAUUUCUUGUUCACAACAAUUUCCCAUAUCCCGUGUAACACAUCAUCUUUUUUUAAAAAGAACAACUUUUAAUUAUCUAAGCAGGGCUAAGCAUCUUUAGUUCUCUUUAUAAAAAGAGGAAUCAAGGAAGAUAAUCAAAUUCCAAGGAAUGGCAAUGCAUCAAUUGUUUCAUCACUCAACUCCUAUCACCUAAUGCAACAUAUAAGUGAUAAAAGUUUUAUAACAACAAGGAGGUGGCAAAUGCACCGGGGCUUGCCUGGGAUAACACUAAGUGUUGUUAGAUGAUGACCACUUGGUGAGCAUCUUCCAUCCUGGCACUUGAUCAGAUCAUCCAUUCCUCUGGUUUAUUCGUUAGCAUCACUUUGAGGUUAAUCCAACACUUUUCCUCCACAUCGUGCGAUCAAAUAACGUACCUAAUUGAUAUGCAUAAUGCAUAUGAGUGAGAAUAAUUAUAAACAAUACAAGAUAAUAACACUAUGCCGAAGAGGGUAAUAUAUUGCUAGUAAGGCAUUACAACUCCUAGGCAAACACUAGCUACCUUUGAAUUAACAACGAUCAUGAUCCUCGAGCUAGGGGGACCUAAUUCAAAUAUUUGGAAAUCAUAACUAAACAUAUGCCUUAAGCUAAAGCAUAACAUUGAUAGGUUAUUACCCUUAGACUUGUCACUUUUUAACACUCAAAACUUGGAAAAGGUGAUAGAACAAGCAUCAAGAAAGCAGUACACUAGAACUUAGGUUCACUAGUGAUAGUCACCUAAGACUUAGAUUAAAGAUAUGAGUAGCUUAACUAGUUUCCUAAACUUCUUUCUCAAAUUAACUUAUUGUAACACACCAACUAAUAAAUCAUCACAUUUCUAUUCAAUCACACAAGUAGAACACUUAUCAUACAACAUAAAGUUCCAUAGAAUUUACAUCCUCAACAAUUAAAGAUCUAAAGCAUACAAGAUGAAAUAUAAUAAGUGUUCCAUACUUUCCUUAGAUUACUGAGUAUAGCACCUUAAGCUUGGGACACUUGUUCACUUGAAUUUAGCAAGUACAAGACUUCACCAAUCAAGAACUAACUAAAUUUACUUAGUCAAACAAUAAGAAGGAAAUGAAUUAAUCAAAUAUAAUAAGGCAUUUCGAUAAACACUUCAUAUGCAACAAGUUGUCAUCAAUCAAGGGUAAAAAAAAAUGACUAAUCCAACCUAGCCAAACAAGAGCAACUUCAAGAAAUCCACUUAAUGCUUGCUGGUUUUGUACAGCAGAACAACAGCUAGUUGUUUUAUUUAUAACUUACACAAUAUUCAUCCAAAAAUAGUAAACUAAGACUUUUUGGAAAGCUUAUAAAGUCCUCUAAAAUUUUGGUAUUAUCAUCACAAUGAGAUUCGACAUUUAGAAAUGUCAAACAGUACUAAACGCAAUUUCUGUCCAGAUUUGGACAGAAUUCGACUACUUACUUCAUUAAUUCAUAACUAAAGUUUCAGACAUCCAAAUCAGGUGAUUCUAGACUUUUUAGAAAGCUAAUAGAAUUGUCUAUAAUUCAUUUAUAAUCAUCUCAAAGUGAUUCAAUGUGUAUCGAAGUCAGUUAAUACAAACAAACAUUGCUGUCCAGAUUUGGACAGAUUCAGACUCUAUAGUUUGAACAGCUGUAACUUGGUCUCUAGACCACCAAAAAUGGUGCUCCAAAAUUUGUUGGAAAGCUUAAGCAAAGUACUACAAUUCUCCUAUAAUUACUAAGAGCUUACUCUCAGUUUAACUUGGGCAAACAAGGUCAUUUUCGAAAUCUGUACAGAAUCUGGACAGAUUCUGAAACUAGACUUAGAAAAAUCAUAACUCCUAAACUACUGAACCUAUGGUCAUGAAAUUUUUACACAAGUAAGAUAAAGAAGUUAUCUACAAGUUUUAUAUAUAACACUUCUACAGAAAACAUGGUUUACUUCAUUGAACUAGCUGCGCAAUUAAAACUGUACCUGCUGCCCGAAACAGUAAAAAUUCAAUUUAACUCCUAUUUUGGUUAACCACAGCUUAACAACGCAUCAAUCAAAGCAUUCCUUGCCUAAACAGAACCAUCCUCUGUGUUUUAUAACAUCCAUUUAAUUAUACUUGACAUAUGUACUCUCUAAAACACUUCUCGUAAAAUUUGCACCUAAUACCUAAACUUCCCCUCAAACAACACUUCUACUAUCCAAUCAUGACGUCAAAAAAAUCAUGACACACAACCAAAUUAUUUCAUCAUACAUCAAACACAACCACAAUGAUAAUUAUCUAACCAAACCAUUUAUUAAUUAAAUAGCCACAGAAAUGACUUGGCUCACCACAUCAUGAUCCGACUUGAUUUUUCUUGCAAGAACGACGACAGUUCCUUGGUCUCCCAUUUCGUCGAACACCCGGCGGGCGUCAUAUUGGACUGUGCUUCUUCUCCACUAAAUCCUGGGAUUUCCCCUCACAUCUCACACAUAAGCACACACAUACUCACAAUCAACCACAAACCACAUAUAUCGAUUAAGGAGAUAAGUAGCAUAAGACAAAGGGACCUCACCGAUGACUAUGAAUUGCACAAGUCAACAACUAGGCAUCCAUGGAGGGAGGUGCUGCUGUUCCUAGCAGAGAGGGGCUGGGCGAGCUCCUGCAGAGGGGAGUACGCCGAGCAGGAGGAGCCACCAUGGGCGAGCUCACCAUGGGAGGAAGUGAGGGCGCAGCUAGCUGCCAUCAAUGGAGAGCUGGAGACGUCAUGUGCAGCUCACAUCAGGAAGGGAUGAGCGCCAUGCUGCUAGCAAGGGUAUAGGGGAUGGUGGCGAGCAGAGGGGCUAGGAGAUGAGAGGGCACGGUGGAGGGGAUGGGGGAUAGGCGGCCAUGGGAGAAGCCAGGGAAGACAACGGCAGCUGCUGCUCCACAACUGCAAUCAGAGAAGGAGACACCGUGUGGGGGAAGCAAGGGAGGACGGCAUGGUGGAGGUAGCCAGGGCAGAGCGCCGUGAGGAGAUGAAGCCUGGCUUCGGUCGGCUGGGAGAAUUCCAGAAGGAAGACCACGUGGGGGAGGAGGUGGCAGUCUAGGAAGAGAAUAAGAAUUCAAAUUUUUUGUUUCUCCAAAUUUUUCUUUUACAAAAGACUACAAAAUUUAACUCUGUUCUUAAGUGGGGAUUUUUAGUGAGAUGCAAAUGGACCAACCAAAAUAAUAUUGGUUAUAAGAUUUCAGACGUGGUUGAUUUGGUUAAAAUCAGUUGUACAUUCAUCUGAUCAAUAAAUUUUUAAACAGGCACCAGACUCGACAUAUCGCGAAAUAAAUACGCGGGAUCGAUGUAGCAUCGAAAUUGUGAUCCUUUCGGAAGCGACGUCACGCAUCAUUCACGGGGCGAGAAGCUGGGCGCUGUCCAGACACCGGUUAGCACCCGCCACACGCGUCACGGUGUCAGGCCACAGAGAGACACGUGCAACGCAAGCGUGAAAGAAUUUCAAAUGAAGUUUAAGAAGCUACUUUUGAUUUCAAAAAUUAUAGUUUAGGCAAGACGUCGAGGGCUCAACCCAAACGAUACUGGAUUCGAUGUUCCAAAGAUUACCAAAGGCUGAAUUUUAAAAGAAAUGGAUUUGGAAAAAUUUAGACAGACGGAGGCAGACACGAGAUCAAAAUCGUGAUAAACGAGGUUGAUUAAAAAUUAGUGUCCAAUUUAUUUACCGAUAUCCCGCGCUUAAAUCCAUAGUCGCUGUUGAACGGGAGACAAACACCUGGGGUGUUACAACCUUCCCCCUUAAAAGAAUCUCGUCCCGAGAUUCAGAACGAAAGACUUCUAAGAGUAGAGAGGCAUGUAACUCUUGUCCAUAUCAGUUAUAAUCAUAAGACAGUUCCAAGCAAAGGCGAGUGUCUCAGAAUGUUGUUUCUCUAGUGGACAUAUCAUGUAUAGCCUUACGCUAAUUUAGAGAUGUCCACCAAUAGAGACGAUGUCUGCCAGAAGAACACAUAAGGUUUCACGUGUGCAGUUUGUUUUUUUUCUGAUGACACUGUACUAUCUGAGUCUGUUGAGCAAGCGACAGAUAUGCGAUUUUACCCAAACAGAAUCAGAUGCAACCUCUUGGGUAGAAAUCCAUUUGGUCAGGUUGUUCAUCCGUUUCUUCCAUGCGAAAUGAACAGACUUGGUUCGGGAAUACAUGGAUAAAAUAAGAGAGCGAAUGAACAAACUCCUGCAUCUCAGCAGCUGGGAAAGUCAAUCUCCAUUUUGAGAGCUAACCAGUUGUUUUCCCACACUAAAAAGCUCCAAGGCUUCACCUUUACAAAAAGGACAUAAAGGGAACUUGUAUGAGUAGUCACUACCAAGAUCAAAAGAAAAGAGAUCACAUAUGAAAGUGGUAUGCUCGUUUGAUCCAACAGAGACGAUAAAUGUUGCUUGAUCACUUCACAAACAACAUAGAAAUUGUUUCAAGGAAGUAGUUUACGGAAGACAACAUAUCAGUGUAGUUCCACAAUGGAUCAUGACUAGAGACCUUGAUACCAGCAUCCGACGAGUAGCACAUCCCUGUGUGCGCAUUCAAAGGAGGCUCUCAGUUUCGCUGCGGCACCAUAAGUCCUUAAUCGUGACACCACUACCGAACUGACACCAAUAACAAUCUCACAUAGCAAAAAUAGAUUGUGCCAAGAUAACACAUUGACAUAGUCUCAUAAUGGAUUACAACUACUAACUGUGAUACCAGCGCGUGCCGAGUAGCACAACCAUGUGUGCGCACCCACAGAAGGCCCUCGAUUUCGUCGCAGCACCAUCGGUUUUAGUCAUAACACCAUUACUAGAUGUAACCAAUAAGAAAUCUCAUGCGGUACAAAUGGAUUGAGCAAGGGUGACAAUAUACAAUGAGAUACUCCACAUGUAAGAAUGAUUACAAGUAGAGAUCCAAAUAGAUCAUGGCCCGAUGAACUGAACAAGGCAUGGCCAUGACCUAAACUUAUUGGUGAGCGAGUACGAUGGGAGACUGAUACUUCAUCCCCAAGCAUAUUUCUAUGCCCAUCGCAGAAAUUACAAGGUCAAGGAUUAUUAUCUGAUUAGAUACGGAGGGAAAACAAUCAUAGGAUUAAGUUGGUAUGCCUUUGAUAGAUAUGAGAAAACCAAAGGCACCGAACUCAGUAAAAUGAUCGGACAUAUCUUUCCUAAGUUAGGUCGAUAAAGUCACAUGGCGGUCCAUAAAAACAGGCAAACUCGAUAAGGUACAUCAGCUUGCACCAACCGAACAAAGGUAUGUUUUAGGAUGAAAAUAGGACCAUAAGAGCUACAAGUUGGCUGUUAAGAUCAGGGGACUCGAGAUUAUUAUUUUUUUAAGUUUGAGUGCAUCUUAGGUCCAAUAAGGGGAUUACCUAAACAUCUAUUUAUAUGACCUUGAUCACAAAGUAACGAUGGAAAAAUUCAGACUCGUCCGCAUUUGGAAACUGGGGAAAAUUUCAGGGGAUUAACAUCGAUUUGGGUCAUGGCUCCUAGAUGAGGACAUGUCCAAAUUUUUAGUUUACACAAACAUACCACCAACAUUCUAUCAGCAGAAACACACCAGAACAAACACAAGUUAGACUAGCGGUCAAAUUAAGAAGAACCUCAGGCCACAUAAAAACAUGUCUAAAGGACACAUCAAACAAAGCUAGAAAUUACUUAUAGGACAGUAAUGCUUCACACAGUUUUCAGUUAUUUAUUAUCAGAAUAAAGAUGAGAAAAGCAUGUUCAUUUACAAUCACCUAUUAUUAGAAUAAAGGUGAGGGAAGCAUUUCUGUGCGCAAACAACAAACACAAUGCAACAAUCAAGAUGCAUGCUCGUCCUAUUCGUCCUCACGAAUUUUGCCAACUUAAUAUGGCAAUAGCGCUCUAUAUCGGUGGCAUAUCUACGUCUCUCUCGAUAUAUUGCUAGUCGUCAGCUACACAUACGAGUUCGAAGUUAGUGUACCUGUAGAAAAAUCCAUUACAGCCCAAUUCCCAAUGAUGCAAUUCACACAUGACAGUUUAUCACAGUUUAUACUCCAUAUAUUGCUAUAUGGAGGCCAGCUCCUCAUUAAGCGCCGAGCCACGCAUAGGCGCCGCUGCCACACUUUAACCACAGGGCAGCCCAUUGUGGUACAUUACCUUCUUACCUAAGCGUAGGUGUGUCGUUGCAAGUACAUUACACUUCUCAGUAUUCCCAUGUCUGUAUACCCAUACACAUCCAUGGGGUACUGAAUCCCAAAAAGUAAUUACUCCACUUCGCAGCCUUCAUAUAUACAUAUGUGUAACAUGUAUAUAAUCAAGCGCUUUUUAUGCUCUUCCCUAGACCGACGGUUGUUCGGUCAUGCUCUCACAUCUCACCUUACCUUGAGCGUCGAUCCAUUCAAAACUGAAUGACCUCAAAAAUAACAUUACACAUGUAUGCAUUACCCUUCCCAGAUUGUGGGUUAGUAUUCUGAACUAAGCCACCUAAUAGUCCUUAAUUUAGGGCUUAACAGAGGAUGUCGCUAGCAUUAUAGUUUUUCAAAUAUGUUUUUCAAAACCAAACAAUGUGUUUAGUUGAAAAUAGAUUUUUCAAAACCAAAAUUUUGUUUUAAAAAUACGUAUGUGACCGUAUCAUACUUAAUCAAGCUCCGAUGCCAGCUGUCGCAGAACCUCCCAAGUUAUCGGGCCCACAUGCACCUGUCCUUGUCUCAAAGACCUCAGACAGCUAUGCAUGUGCACCAAACAACUUAACAGGAUCUGUACGAGUGCCCCGAGGACCCCGGAUAAAUGACUUACCGCCAAGAUCGCAAGAUUAAGUAAACACAAAUCACACACCAAUAUUUGCAGCGAAAAUAAAUUAUUUAUUACAAAAUGGUUACAAGUUACAACAUUUACAAGUUAUAGCAAGAUUACAAUAUAUAUCAUCGGAGUUGGUUACAAAAGAAAUUGAUUCAAAAAGAUUACAAUUUGAAUGUAUAAAACAUUUAUAAGUUUUAAAAUACAUGCUAGCUUAAGUGACAAUCCUCAAUAAAGAAGCUAAAGAUGGGAUAUACUUAUAUAAGAAGGCCGAGCCCACCGGCACUUAGCAGCAUCCACAACAGAACAAAAUUAUAACCUGAAAAACAACAGGGAAUAAAACCCUGAGUACACAAUUACUCAGCAAGACUUACCCGACUAAAGAAAAGACUCUCAAGGGUAUGCUGGUUUAUUGGGAAUCAAGGUA